AUGAACCUUGUGGCUAGGAACAAAACCCCCAGCUGGAGCAGGCACUUUCACUUUUCACUUAAGUCAUUAGAGGUCUGGCUGUAUACCAGUGAGGAGGCAAGGAUUGCCAUGAUACUCUCCCCAUUUGGGCUUCUUAGUUCCCUGGUGAGCUGUCCAUCUGGGCACUUGGCCUGGCAAGUGUCAGACUACAGCAACAACAGUCUCCACAUCAUCAUCAUCAUCAACAUCAUCAAAACUAGAAUUUAUAUAGCAUCUACUAUGUACCAAUCAAUACUUAAAGAAAUUAAUUCAGACUAUUCACUGGAAGGUCAAAUACUGAAGCUGAAGCCUAAAUUCUCUGGCCACAUAAUAAGAAUAUAGGUCUCAGGACUCACUGGAAAUGACCCUGAUAUUGAGAAAGACUGAAGACAAAAGGAGAAGGGAACAGCAGAGGAUGAGAUGGAGAGAUGGUGUCCUGGAAACAAUGAGCAAGAACUUGGACAGUCUUCAAGAGAAAGUGAAGAACAGCACCUGGCAUGUGUAUUUUCAUAAAAUCCAAGAUUUAAAUUUUGUUCGAGAUAGAUCUUCAGAGAAGAAGCUUGCUAACUAACUGAAUCCAGAGAAUGAACUAUUUGCAGAAAGAUACCUAAACCCUUACACUACAUGAAGAUCCAGAAUGAACCUUGGGGUGUGGUUGAUUGAACUAAAGGUUGAUUGAACAUUUAUUUUGAAUGUACACUCUUAAGCCAAAGGGGACUGCCCCCUAAUUGGUUUUUGUCAUUUGUGCCCAGCAAAACAUUGGUUUUGCUGCCUCUCUCUCUCUCCUCUAUUUCCCCUUGUCUACAACUAUUGUAGUUUUCCUCUUAGAGGGUAAAAUUUUGUAUACACCUACAGUUAAAAUUUUUUGGGGUGCAGGACACUUAUGUUUAGUGAUCAAUUGGGGAGACGAGUCCCCCAAUCAUCAUCAGGGGGAGUGAUUUUUAAAUUUCCUCCAUCUUGCUUUGUCUAGCACCCAAAAAUGUCCACACCCACACUAUGUGGGCAUGUGCUAGUUAAUGACAAAUCAAAAAUAACUAACUGCCCUCCUGGGCUGUCCUAAGCCAAGCUUGAGCCACCAUUGGCACGUGUGAGGCACAGGAAUUAAGGUAGAGAACAGCCUCUGGAGUUCUCUCACUUCCUGUGGAGAGGGCUAGAGACCAGUUUGUUCCUGGAGUUCGAGUUGGGAGGAGCCCCGCAGGCUCCUUGCCUUCAGAUCAGUCACGUGAGUGUAAGGACUGAUUCCCUUCCCUGCCUUAGCCCUCCAAGGCCUAAAACUCCCUCUGGCUCUGCCAGAAGGUUGAGUUAACCUCUUUCCUUCUCCCCUUCUUUCCUUCUCUCCCUC
This 1360-nucleotide long non-coding RNA is filed under the name Monodelphis domestica (gray short-tailed opossum). RNAcentral's name for it is "lncRNA (ENSMODG00000034399.2)". The record is from RNAcentral. Lineage: Eukaryota; Metazoa; Chordata; Mammalia; Didelphimorphia; Didelphidae.